UGGGGAAUAUUGGGGCAAUGGGGCGCAAGCCUGACCCAGCAACGCCGCGUGAGGGAAGAAGGCUUUCGGGUUGUAAACCUCUGUCCUUGGUGACGAAGGAAGUGACGGUAGCCAAGGAGGAAGCCCCGGCUAACUACGUGCCAGCAGCCGCGGUAAUACAUAGGGGGCAAGCGUUGUCCGGAAUCACUGGGCGUAAAGGGAGCGUAGGCGGAUGUUUAAGUUAAGUGUGAAAGCCUGGGGCUUAACUCCAGAAAUGCACUUAAUACUGGAUAUCUAGAGUGUGGGAGAGGUAAGUGGAAUUCCUAGUGUAGCGGUAAAAUGCGUAGAGAUUAGGAGGAACACCAGAGGCGAAGGCGGCUUACUGGACCACAACUGACGCUGAGGCUCGAAAGCGUGGGGAGCAAACAGGAUUAGAUACCCUGGUAGU
RNAcentral lists this ribosomal RNA (427 nucleotides) under uncultured bacterium. Its description in RNAcentral is "bacterial SSU rRNA". It matches the Rfam family "Bacterial small subunit ribosomal RNA", at positions 355 to 794 of the family's 1533-position model. The record is from RNAcentral.